UGAAUACGAGAUGCUACGGCGUCGAAGCAGUCUAUGUCAUACUUCCAAGAAAAGCUUGCACUGUCAUAAACAAAUAAUGCCUGUACCAUAACCGACACAGGUGGGUAGGUAGAGUAUACUAAGGGGCGCGAGAUAACUCUCUCUAAGGAACUCGGCAAAAUGACUCCGUAACUUCGGGAGAAGGAGUGCCUUAUUUAUAAGGUUGCAAUAACAAGAUCCAAGCAACUGUUUACCAAAAACACAGGUCUCCGCUAAGUCGUAAGACGAUGUAUGGGGGCUGACGCCUGCCCAGUGCCAGAAGGUUAAAGAAGUUGGUUAGCAUCCGCGAAGCUGAUAACUGAAGCCCUGGUGAACGGCGGCCGUAACAAUAACGGUCCUAAGGUAGCGAAAUUCCUUGUCGGGUAAGUUCCGACCCGCACGAAAGGCGUAAUGAUUUGGAUACUGUCUCGGAGAGGGGCUCGGUGAAAUAGACUUGUCUGUGAAGAUGCGGACUACCUGCACCAGGACAGAAAGACCCUAUGAAGCUUUACUGUAACCUGAAAUUGAAAUUGGACUUUACUUGCGCAGUAUAGGUGGGAGGCGUUGAGAAUAUUCUUGCGGGAUUAUUGGAGCCAUCAGUGAGAUACCACUCUUGUAAUGUUAGAUUUCUAACUUUGUAUCAUUAUCUGGUCAAAGAACAGUUUCAGGCGGGCAGUUUGACUGGGGCGGUCGCCUCCUAAACGGUAACGGAGGCGCACAAAGGUUUCCUCUGAACAGGUAGAAAUCGUAUCUAGAGUGUAAAGGCAUAAGGAAGCUUGACUGUGAGACCUACAAGUCGAGCAGGGACGAAAGUCGGUCUUAGUGAUCUGACGGUGCUGAGUGGAAAGGCCGUCACUCAACGGAUAAAAGUUACUCUAGGAUAACAGGCUGAUCUCCCCCAAGAGUUCACAUCGACGGGGAGGUUUGGCACCUCGAUGUCGGCUCAUCGCAUCCUGGGGCGGUAGUACGUCCCAAGGGUUGGGCUGUUCGCCCAUGAAAGCGGUACGCGAGCUGGGUUCAGAACGUCGUGAGACAGUUCGGUCCAUAUCCGGUGUAGGCGUUAGAAUAUUGAGAGGAGCCUUCUUUAGUACGAGAGGACCGAGAAGGACAUACCUCUGGUGUACCAGUUAUCGUGCCAACGGUAAACGCUGGGUAGCUAUGUGUGGAGUGGAUAACCGCUGAAAGCAUCUAAGUGGGAAGCCCACCUCAAGAUAAGUAUUCGC
This 1241-nucleotide ribosomal RNA is filed under the name metagenome. RNAcentral describes it as "bacterial LSU rRNA". It matches the Rfam family "Bacterial large subunit ribosomal RNA", at positions 1564 to 2815 of the family's 2925-position model. The record is from RNAcentral.